GAUGAACGCUGGCGGCGUGCCUAAUACAUGCAAGUCGAGCGAACGGACGAGAAGCUUGCUUCUCUGAUGUUAGCGGCGGACGGGUGAGUAACACGUGGAUAACCUACCUAUAAGACUGGGAUAACUUCGGGAAACCGGAGCUAAUACCGGAUGAUAUUUUGAACCGCAUGGUUCAAAAGUGAAAGACGGUCUUGCUGUCACUUAUAGAUGGAUCCGCGCUGCAUUAGCUAGUUGGUAAGGUAACGGCUUACCAAGGCAACGAUGCAUAGCCGACCUGAGAGGGUGAGGGGCCAAAGGGGAAGGAGGAAACGGACAGAACUCCAAGGGGAGGAAGAGGGAGGAAAGCUUCCGAAAUGGGGGAAAGCUGGAGGGAGAAACGCGGGGUGAGGGAGGAAGGUUGUGGGAUGGAAAAACGCUGUUAUAAGGAAAGAAAAUAGGUGAAAGUAACGGGGAAAAGCUGGAGGGUACCAAAUAAGAAAGCAAGGGCAAACUA
Molecule: ribosomal RNA, 493 nt
Filed under: uncultured bacterium
Lineage: Bacteria
Description: partial 16S ribosomal RNA
Rfam family: Bacterial small subunit ribosomal RNA
Source: RNAcentral